UACGUAGGGACCAAGCGUUGUUCGGAUUUACUGGGCGUAAAGGGCGCGUAGGCGGUGCGGUAAGUCACUUGUGAAAUCUCUGAGCUUAACUCAGAACGGCCAAGUGAUACUGCAGUACUAGAGUGCAGAAGGAGCAAUCAGAAUUCUUGGUGUAGCGGUGAAAUGCGUAGAUAUCAAGAGGAAUACCUGAGGUGAAGACGGGUUGCUGGGCUGACACUGACGCUGAGGCGCGAAAGCCAGGGGAGCAAACGGG
RNAcentral lists this ribosomal RNA (253 nucleotides) under uncultured bacterium. RNAcentral's name for it is "partial 16S ribosomal RNA". It matches the Rfam family "Bacterial small subunit ribosomal RNA", at positions 524 to 776 of the family's 1533-position model. The record is from RNAcentral.